UACGUAGGGUGCGAGCGUUAAUCGGAAUUACUGGGCGUAAAGCGUGCGCAGGCGGUUUUGUAAGCCAGAUGUGAAAUCCCCGGGCUUAACCUGGGAAUGGCAUUUGGGACUGCAAGGCUGGAGUGCGGCAGAGGAGACUGGAAUUCCUGGUGUAGCAGUGAAAUGCGUAGAUAUCAGGAGGAAUACCGAUGGCGAAGGCAGGUCUCUGGGCUGACACUGACGCUCAUGCACGAAGCGUGGGGAGCAAACAGG
This 252-nucleotide ribosomal RNA is filed under the name uncultured bacterium. RNAcentral describes it as "partial 16S ribosomal RNA". It matches the Rfam family "Bacterial small subunit ribosomal RNA", at positions 524 to 776 of the family's 1533-position model. The record is from RNAcentral.